This 492-nucleotide ribosomal RNA is filed under the name uncultured bacterium. RNAcentral describes it as "partial 16S ribosomal RNA". It matches the Rfam family "Bacterial small subunit ribosomal RNA", at positions 29 to 507 of the family's 1533-position model. The record is from RNAcentral.
AGUGAACGCUGGCGGUAGGCCUAACACAUGCAAGUCGAACGGCAGCACAGUAAGAGCUUGCUCUUACGGGUGGCGAGUGGCGGACGGGUGAGGAAUACAUCGGAAUCUACUUUUUCGUGGGGGAUAACGUAGGGAAACUUACGCUAAUACCGCAUACGACCUACGGGUGAAAGCAGGGGAUCUUCGGACCUUGCGCGAUUGAAUGAGCCGAUGUCGGAUUAGCUAGUUGGCGGGGUAAAGGCCCACCAAGGCGACGAUCCGUAGCUGGUCUGAGAGGAUGAUCAGCCACACUGGAACUGAGACACGGUCCAGACUCCUACGGGAGGCAGCAGUGGGGAAUAUUGGACAAUGGGCGCAAGCCUGAUCCAGCCAUACCGCGUGGGUGAAGAAGGCCUUCGGGUUGUAAAGCCCUUUUGUUGGGAAAGAAAAGCAGCAGGUUAAUACCCCGCUGUUCUGACGGUACCCAAAAAAUAAGCACCAGCUAACUUCGUG